CUCACCACCCCUCCCCCCUGCUCUGUAUUCUAAGGACACAUGGCUGCACAGGAGAAGGACCUCACAGAGAAGAGAAGUGUUAUCUGAAGGGGAGGAUGAGAAGACGUAUACCGUAAGCCCACUGCCACCAACUCCCUUUUGCAUGCAGCCUCCUCACAUACUCCAUCAACUAUCAAAGCCAUACCAACAGGACAAUUCCUGAGAAUACGUAGAAUUUGCUCCUCGGAUGAUGAUUUCAAGAAACAAAGUGCAAUACUUACGGAACGUUUCCUCCAGCGUGGUUACAGCAGACGAUCUCUCAAAAAGGCCUAUCAGAAAGCUCAACAUGUACAUAGAGAGGACCUCCUACAAGAUUUUAACCGUUGGGAAUUUUUUCCAGUAACAUCAGUCAGCUCCCUUUAUACCUCGUACAACAGCUGAUGCACCUACUUCAUGAAGCACUAUACUUUGGUGAAAGAUGAAGCCAAU
Molecule: long non-coding RNA, 468 nt
Organism: Hyla sarda
Lineage: Eukaryota; Metazoa; Chordata; Amphibia; Anura; Hylidae
Exons: 3
Source: RefSeq, a predicted model, not a curated record